AUUGAACGCUGGCGGCAGGCCUAACACAUGCAAGUCGAACGAGUGGCGGACGGGUGAGUAAUGUCUGGGAAACUGCCUGAUGGAGGGGGAUAACUACUGGAAAAGGUAGCUAAUACCGCAUACCAUCGGAUGUGCCCAGAUGGGAUUAGCUAGUCGGUGGGGUAAAGGCUCACCUAGGCGACGAUCCCUCGCUGGUCUGAGAGGAUGACCAGCCACACUGGAACUGGAACACGGCCCAGCGUCCUACGGUGGGCAGCAGUGGGGAAUAUUGCACAAGGGGCACAAGCCGGAUGCAGACAGUCCGCGUGGAUGAAGAAGGCCUUCGGGUGGUAAGGUACUUUCAGCGGGGAGGCGUUACCCGAAGAAGAAGCCCCGGCUAACUCCGUGCCAGCAGCCGCGGUAAUUC
This 406-nucleotide ribosomal RNA is filed under the name uncultured bacterium. RNAcentral describes it as "partial 16S ribosomal RNA". It matches the Rfam family "Bacterial small subunit ribosomal RNA", at positions 29 to 526 of the family's 1533-position model. The record is from RNAcentral.